This 3877-nucleotide long non-coding RNA is filed under the name Amborella trichopoda. Its description in RNAcentral is "long non-coding RNA (ATRI_LNC000322)". Lineage: Eukaryota; Viridiplantae; Streptophyta; Magnoliopsida; Amborellales; Amborellaceae. The record is from RNAcentral.
GAGAUUAUUUUCUGAGCUAAAAAUUAUCUUAUUUCAUUGUCACAAAUCUGGCAUUUGAAGCCAAAACUUAUCUCAACCAUCAUGCAACGCCCACAAUUUCUAAUGCCAAGAUGCAUCUUUAGCAUCUUUAAUAUAACUAAUGCAGCAUUCAUGAUGAAAUGUUCCUUGAAUUUCCAAGAGAAAUCCCAAAAACUCCUAAUGAGAUUUUUCUCUUCUUUCAUUUAACAUUUAUUUCUGAUUCAGGCGCAUUAGGACAGAGCAUCUUAUGUUUUUUCCACCCAUAUUCAUAUUUUUUGCAAUACUACCACACAAGGCACCUGUCAAACCCAGUUCCUUCCAGGUUUGUGAAAUACAAAAUAGAUGGAUUUAGUUUCACUUGAAUGAUGAAUAUGCACAUUGAAACUUGAAAAGAUCUGGUUUAGCUAAUUUGCCAUGGCCUUUCCAUACCUUGAACUUUUUUAUGGAACUGUUAACAUUUGUAUUGAAGGGGAAGAAGAUUACAAACCAUCAAAAAAUAGGCUUCCCACAAGCCGGAAGCUCUAUACCAAAUAUGGGCACCCUUACGUCUAGGGGCUCCAUCCUAAAAGGGGCACUCCUACAUCUGGGGACUCUAUACAAAAAAUAAGCAUCCCAUGAACUGGAAGCUCUGUAAAAAAAAACCACCACUGGUGGACAGUGUGCAAGAUGGCCAAGACAAGAGAAAGUGCAACUAAAGUGUUAACUGCAAAGUGCAGUCAUGGUUGUGCUGUUAAGUGCUCCUCCUUUAGCUAGCGUGUCGGCCUCCGUGUUACCCUCCCACCAAAUAUGCCUCCAUGAGGAAACCAUAUGCUUGCAAAUGUAAUAGCUUUUAUUAACGGUGUGUGUGGGAGUCCAGGGGCAAGGUGCUGAGCCUGAGGCCCAAGCAAUAAUGUUCUUAGUGUCUCCUUCUACUUAGGUUCGAAGAGGGAUUAAUGUUUUUGAGUCCUUCUAGGAGUGCCAAGGCCUCUGCCAGUUGGGAAUAAGCAUACGUCCGAUGUGUUUGGAGAAUGAACUAAGGAUCUGGACUGCAUAAUUCCUAAUGAGACCCCCUAUACGUGAGCGGCCACGGUUGCCGAGGGAGCAGCUGUCGAAGUUUAAUUUCACCUAGCUUGGUUCAGGUGGCUUGAUUCAGGCGGUCUCCAACAUGCAGUAAAUUACAUUUAAAAGCAAAUUUCCAAAGGAAAUACCCACCAGCAUGCAUAAUUAUUUUGAGAAUUAAUGACUUCCAUUGAUGCAAUGAGGUAUUACAUUUUCACGGUUUGUACAAAAUAUGUUACAACAUUGUGGAGGUGUUUAUUCCUGUACAAAAAAUUGGAUGAUGCUAAAGAAGAUUUGGUAUAUCAAAAUUUGAGGUCCAAGUUGGUUUGAUUGAAGGUAGGGCUGUUAUAGUUUUUGACAAGAACACAGGGAAGAAGAGUCCCCUCUUCAAGUGCGUGAAGAGGUUGUAUAGAUGGUUGAGUGUGUGAAGAGGUUGUAUUGAUAGUUGAGUCUGGGUUCCCCUUUAAACUGCCAUUGAAAUUGAGCUUGACUUCUGUGAAUCCAGAUUGCUUCCACAGGGACGGCCUUUGGGGGAUUACAUGGCUUGAACCAGUUAAUAUGCUUCGGCUAUCAAAAACAGCAAAAGAUAUGCCAAAGAUAUUGUCGGAAGGCCAAGGUUAUGAUUGAGGACACAAAGUGCUCGGUGAGAGUUGAAAUGCUUGAUUGGACUCCCUAAAAUAUCCGCAGGUUUAUUCUAAGGGACCAGAUGAAGGCAAUUGAGGUAAGGUGCCAUAGGUGGCGACCCUUUUUGGGAAAGGUAAGGAAAUGGAAAUCCACGGUUUAAAAACUCUUUAAUGGCCUCUGGCCAGACCCAUGUAAGGUUGAAAAGAUCAAGAAAUAUGGAUGGGAUUAUUGAGGCUGUUGCACAAUGGAGAAAUAGCUGGUUCAUGGAUUCAUGGAUUCCCACUCCAACCUGUACAUCACACCAGAUUGACAGGGGUAUUCCUCUGUAUUGGAUGUUGUCCAAGGUUAAAGCUUUGUGGGAUGUGGCAAGCCAGUUUAGGGCAUGAACCUUUGGUGCCAGUUUGAUGGUCCAAGGACUUGUAGUCUGCAGGACUGAAACUUGAAGAAUACUGAGCAUGAUAGAAAGAAGUCACAGAAAAGUCGCCUCGUAGAUUCGGGCACCAAAUCAAAUUGUCCUUGCCACGGUUUGGUACAAAUUAGGCAUUUAGUGUAUCAUUCUUCGUCUCAGCAUCUGUGAGAUUUUGACGAAAUUGUGGUGUCCACAAUAACUGUCCGCCAAUUUGGUCUGUUAUCUGGGCUAUUGAAAUGUAAGGAUCAAGUGCUAGGUUGAAAAGGUGGCAAAAGGAGGACCCUAAUGUGAUCUGACCCGAGCCAUAGGUCUUUCCAAGGCAUAAUCCUGUCACCCAUUUUGGCCAUGAAUCUAAUGGUAGCUAAUAAAUUCAUUGUGAAUAUACUACAUGAUGCCCUAAAGUUACUUCUUUGUCAGCCUCUUGAGUUGGUGGGUUGUUUGAAAAAGCCAACCCAUGGGUCCCAUGCCAUACUUUUGUUUGAUGACAUGGCACCAAAGGAGGUUUCGGGAUCCACAAAAUGCCACCGCCACUUUUCCCAAAAGUGCAAUGUCUACUAGUUGUAGUUUUCUGAUAUGUAAACCACCAAAUCAUUACGGAAGGCAGACAGUCCCAUGUUACAAGGUGAAACUUGUGGUUCCCUUCAGCACAACACAAGGAAUUCUCUGAUGAGCCUUUCUAGUUUGUUGAUGCACUAUCUGAUUUACAGGGAUAUUUAAGAGUCUGGCACUGAUUUAGGUAAUAAGGACUCCAAGAAAGAGAAACCUACAUUUCCAUGCAGGUAAACAUCACUCAGAAAUCUGUGCCACAUUUUCCCAUUGUGAUUUGUUUGUUUUUCCCAUGAAAAGAGGUAGUCCUAUAUAUAAGGCAACCGAUCCCAGGCAUUGAGCUAGCUCCCUCAAUUUGUCACUGGGUACAUAAAAAACAAUGAGGUUUGAUUUGUUCACAUGCAUGCGGAAACCAGUGCAAAGAUCACAAAAUAUUAGAGUCAUAGUUUGUCAACCUGAUGUUUUGCUGGCCUGUUGUCACAAAAGACCAACAGGUGAUCCGCAUCAAGCAAAUGUGAGAUUAUUGGCCCUAUAAUAGAGGUGGAGAUGCUGUCCAGCAGACCAUGGGUAUAGGGACAUUCAAUGGAUAUGGUAAAAAUGUCGCUGAGAAAUAAGAAUGGAGGUAGGGAUUAGGGGUCUCCUUGAUGAAGACAUCUAGAAGAGUGGAAGAAUCCAUUAGCUGAGUUGCUGAUAAGAACUGAGAAGCUUACAGAAUAAAUGUUCUUAAACACAGUUCUGGCAAUGUACUAGGGUGGCUGAGAAGCUUACAGAAGACAUGUUCAGAUGACGAAGUGCAAACAGGUUGAUUAUCUGCACUCAUACUUUCCCCAUGGAACAACAAUCAUAUCCCAUUAAUUUUUGAAGUUAAUUCGAAACAAAACAUACAAAACCCUGAUCCCAAUGUAAUACAAAAGCAAGGAGACAAUGUUGUAAUAUCACCUCCUCCUAACAAAAAAAGACAUUAUAAAAAAUCAUCAAAACACAAGUCUGCAACAAAAUAACAAGCCAAAAGACAAAGCAAUUCACCUAAUUUCAACAAAAAGAUGCAUCAAUAUGAAACUUGAAUAUCUACCACUCAGCAAAUUAAAAGAAGCAUAACUGAAUACCACCAAAACCCUAAUUUUUCAGAUCAAACAGUAAAAACCCUGAUUUCCAGAAUCCACCCAAAACCAGAACUUCUCCGUAAUCCAAAGGCGUUAAUAGAAGAAAGAAUGGCAAAUAAAAAAAAAACCAAAAAACAAA